RNAcentral lists this long non-coding RNA (453 nucleotides) under Homo sapiens (human). RNAcentral's name for it is "non-protein coding lnc-RND3-6:1". The record is from RNAcentral. Lineage: Eukaryota; Metazoa; Chordata; Mammalia; Primates; Hominidae.
UACUGCUACUUGCUCUUAAUUCACAGCACCAACCCCAUUUGGGAAGCAAUCUUCUUCUUGAUGGAUUGAGACGCAAGCUUGUUUCACACUACUUCCAAAUAAGUGUGUAGAGCCAUAUUUUUUUUAUUUUGCAUUCUGACAUAUUAUACAUUAUCAACCAGUUUUCUUCAAAAGAAAGACCUGAACCAGCAGUGUAAGAGGCUUCACAGGACAAAAGGGAUUUUAAUUUGAAGAAAGAGAGGAAGAGAGAAAAUGACAAAGGGAAGAGAACUAACGGGCGGGAAGGGUGAGAGACAAAAGGAAAAGAUAAGAGAGAAGCACAAAAGGUGGUGGCGUCUCACAGGUCAGAAGAAGCUGCGUGAUGGGAGGUAAAGCAUUCUCUUCCCUGCAUUUUUCUUUGCCACUUACCCUCCUCCCCUCCCCUUUCUCCUGCCUCACCCCCAACUUGCUCAA